RNAcentral lists this ribosomal RNA (267 nucleotides) under uncultured bacterium. RNAcentral's name for it is "partial 16S ribosomal RNA". It matches the Rfam family "Bacterial small subunit ribosomal RNA", at positions 89 to 354 of the family's 1533-position model. The record is from RNAcentral.
UUUUUAGCGGCGGACGGGUGAGUAACGUGUGGGCAACCUGCCUUUUACUGGGGAAUAAUCACUGGAAACGGUGACUAAUACCGCAUAAUAUUCUUGGAAGGCAUCUUCCGAGAAGGAAAGGAAAUAUUCGGUAAAAGAUGGGCCCGCAUCUGAUUAGCUAGUUGGUGAGAUAACAGUCCACCAAGGCGACGAUCAGUAGCCGACCUGAGAGGGUGACCGGCCACAUUGGGACUGAGACACGGCCCAAACUCCUACGGAAGGCAGCAG